GAUGAACGCUGGCGGCGUGCCUAAUACAUGCAAGUCGAGCGAACAGACGAGGAGCUUGCUCCUCUGACGUUAGCGGCGGACGGGUGAGUAACACGUGGAUAACCUACCUAUAAGACUGGGAUAACUUCGGGAAACCGGAGCUAAUACCGGAUAACAUGUUGAACCGCAUGGUUCAACAGUGAAAGACGGUCUUGCUGUCACGUAUAGAUGGAUCCGCGCCGCAUUAGCUAGUUGGUAAGGUAACGGCUUACCAAGGCAACGAUGCGUAGCCGACCUGAGAGGGUGAUCGGCCACACUGGAACUGAGACACGGUCCAGACUCCUACGGGAGGCAGCAGUAGGGAAUCCUCCGCAAUGGGCGAAAGCCUGACGGAGCAACGCCGCGUGAGUGAAGAAGGUCUUCGGAUCGUAAAACUCUGUUAUUAGGGAAGAACAAAUGUGUAAGUAACUAUGCACGUCUUGACGGUACCUAAUCAGAAAGCCACGGCUAACUACGUG
This 497-nucleotide ribosomal RNA is filed under the name uncultured bacterium. RNAcentral's name for it is "partial 16S ribosomal RNA". It matches the Rfam family "Bacterial small subunit ribosomal RNA", at positions 28 to 507 of the family's 1533-position model. The record is from RNAcentral.